ACAUCCCUUGAACGUCAAGAGAUUGGAUUUCCCUUCGGGGCAAGGAGACAGGUGGUGCAUGGUUGUCGUCAGCUCGUGUCGUGAGAUGUUGGGUUAAGUCCCGCAACGAGCGCAACCCCUGUAGUUAGUUGCCAUCAUUGAGUUGGGCACUCUAGCUAGACUGCCGGUGACAAAUCGGAGGAAGGUGGGGACGACGUCAAAUCAUCAUGCCCCUUAUGUCCUGGGCUACACACGUACUACAAUGGCUAUCACAGUGGGAAGCAAGACCGCAAGGUGGAGCAAAUCCCCAAAGAUAGUCCCAGUUCAGAUUGUGGGCUGAAACCCGCCCACAUGAAGUCGGAAUUGCUAGUAAUGGCAGGUCAGCAUACUGCCGUGAAUACGUUCCCGGGCCUUGUACACACCGCCCGUCACACCAUGAGAGUCUGCAACACCCGAAGUCAGUAGCAUAACCGUAAGGAGUGCGCUGCCGAAGGUGGGGCCGAUGAUUGGGGUGAAGUCGUAACAAGGUAAGCGUAGCGAG
Molecule: ribosomal RNA, 520 nt
Filed under: uncultured bacterium
Lineage: Bacteria
Description: bacterial SSU rRNA
Rfam family: Bacterial small subunit ribosomal RNA
Source: RNAcentral